AGCCAUGUGAUGAGCACAAAGCGAACUAUUCUUUCGCCUUUUACUAAAGAAUACCGUGUGCUCGUCACUGACAGUGGCAUACGCCUAUUUUUGGAGGGUUUGUCCUUUUGGAUCAAACCC
Molecule: small nuclear RNA, 120 nt
Filed under: Daucus carota subsp. sativus
Lineage: Eukaryota; Viridiplantae; Streptophyta; Magnoliopsida; Apiales; Apiaceae
Description: sRNA DCAR_sn00088
Rfam family: U5 spliceosomal RNA
About the family: U5 RNA is a component of both types of known spliceosome. The precise function of this molecule is unknown, though it is known that the 5' loop is required for splice site selection and p220 binding, and that both the 3' stem-loop and the Sm site are important for Sm protein binding and cap methylation.
Source: RNAcentral